Molecule: ribosomal RNA, 428 nt
Filed under: uncultured Enterobacteriaceae bacterium
Lineage: Bacteria; Pseudomonadati; Pseudomonadota; Gammaproteobacteria; Enterobacterales; Enterobacteriaceae
Description: bacterial SSU rRNA
Rfam family: Bacterial small subunit ribosomal RNA
Source: RNAcentral
UGGGGAAUAUUGCACAAUGGGCGCAAGCCUGAUGCAGCCAUGCCGCGUGUAUGAAGAAGGCCUUCGGGUUGUAAAGUACUUUCAGCGGGGAGGAAGGGAGUAAGGUUAAUAACCUUAUUCAUUGACGUUACCCGCAGAAGAAGCACCGGCUAACUCCGUGCCACAGGCCGCGGUAAUACGGAGGGUGCAAGCGUUAAUCGGAAUUACUGGGCGUAAAGCGCACGCAGGCGGUCUGUCAAGUCGGAUGUGAAAUUCCCGGGCUCAACCUGGGAACUGCAUUCGAAACUGGCAGGCUGGAGUCUUGUAGAGGGGGGUAGAAUUUCCAGGUGUAAGCGGUGAAAUUGCGUAGAGAUCUGGAGGAAUACCGGUGGCGAAGGCGGCCCCCUGGACAAAGACUGACGCUCAGGUGCGAAAGCGUGGGACAAACA